RNAcentral lists this ribosomal RNA (254 nucleotides) under uncultured bacterium. Its description in RNAcentral is "partial 16S ribosomal RNA". It matches the Rfam family "Bacterial small subunit ribosomal RNA", at positions 524 to 776 of the family's 1533-position model. The record is from RNAcentral.
UACGUAGGGUGCGAGCGUUGUCCGGAAUUAUUGGGCGUAAAGAGCUCGUAGGCGGUCUGUCGCGUCGAUCGUGAAAACUUGGGGCUUAACCCUGAGCUUGCGGUCGAUACGGGCAUGACUGGAGUUCGGCAGGGGAGACUGGAAUUCCUGGUGUAGCGGUGAAAUGCGCGGAUAUCAGGAGGAACACCGGUGGCGAAGGCGGGUCUCUGGGCCGAUACUGACGCUGAGGAGCGAAAGCGUGGGGAGCGAACAGG